UACAGUCGCCAUACCACCCUGAACAUGCCCAAUCUUCUUUGAUCUCAGAAGCUAAGCAGAGUUGGGCCUGGUUAGUACUUGCAUGGGGACCCCCUGGGAAUACCAGGUGCUGCAA
RNAcentral lists this ribosomal RNA (115 nucleotides) under Amphilophus citrinellus (Midas cichlid). The record is from RNAcentral. Lineage: Eukaryota; Metazoa; Chordata; Actinopteri; Cichliformes; Cichlidae.